RNAcentral lists this ribosomal RNA (255 nucleotides) under uncultured bacterium. Its description in RNAcentral is "partial 16S ribosomal RNA". It matches the Rfam family "Bacterial small subunit ribosomal RNA", at positions 524 to 776 of the family's 1533-position model. The record is from RNAcentral.
UACGUAGGGUGCGAGCGUUAAUCGGAAUUACUGGGCGUAAAGCGUGCGCAGGCGGUUAUGUAAGACAGAUGUGAAAAUCCCAGGGCUCAACCUUGGAACUGCAUUUGUGACUGCAUAGCUAGAGUACGGUAGAGGGGGGAUGGAAUUCCGCGUGUAGCAGUGAAAUGCGUAGAUAUGCGGAGGAACACCGAUGGCGAAGGCAAUCCCCUGGACCUGUACUGACGCUCAUGCACGAAAGCGUGGGGAGCAAACAGG